AUACGGAGGGUGCAAGCGUUACUCGGAAUCACUGGGCGUAAAGCGCGCGCAGGCGGUCUUUUAAGUUGGAUGUGAAAGCCUACGGCUCAACCGUAGAACUGCAUCCAAAACUAUUAGACUAGAGUGUGGGAGAGGAAGAUGGAAUUAGUUGUGUAGGGGUAAAAUCCGUAGAGAUAACUAGGAAUACCAAAAGCGAAGGCAAUCUUCCGGAACACUACUGACGCUGAGGCGCGAAAGCGUGGGGAGCAAACAGGAUUAGAAACCCAGUAGUCC
RNAcentral lists this ribosomal RNA (273 nucleotides) under uncultured bacterium. RNAcentral describes it as "partial 16S ribosomal RNA". It matches the Rfam family "Bacterial small subunit ribosomal RNA", at positions 523 to 796 of the family's 1533-position model. The record is from RNAcentral.